GGGGGUGAACUGGCUUCGACUUUGAAGGUUGAGGUGUCGGAAGCGAGCCGAGGUCCCCGGAGUCCUCGUUAAAGAGCCGGGAAACAAACAAGUGCCGAGGGUAACUCCGCACUAGCUGCUUAAUUGACAGCUCGUCCUCCCAGGUGGGUGCCUGCCUCGCCGGGUCAGGGCGUCGCAAUGCAGGAUGCCCCCGCCGGGGUCCGGGACCGGUGGGGAAAGAACAACUCCGGAUACGGCUGCGGGGAACUUGCUGACAGAGUCCCACAGCUCGAAAAACUCGCUGUCGGCUGCGCUCGGAGAUGCCGGCGCUAAAACUUCAGAGGACCGGGGUUCGAAUCCCCGCACCUCCACAC
Molecule: transfer-messenger RNA, 353 nt
Filed under: Acidimicrobiia bacterium
Lineage: Bacteria; Bacillati; Actinomycetota; Acidimicrobiia
Rfam family: transfer-messenger RNA
About the family: Bacterial tmRNA, also known as 10Sa RNA or SsrA, is named for its dual tRNA and mRNA-like properties. Its role is to liberate the mRNA from a stalled ribosome.
Source: RNAcentral